CUUUGGGAGUCUGGGGAUCUGAGACUACUGUGCGUCUGGGUAAGGCGUGCCCUGGAGGCAGCCCAGCUGUAGCAAUUCAUUGGAGUCUACACUGUGCCUUUUUCUAUGUCCUUCUGGCCAGCACUGUCACCAGCUUGAUGCCCAUGGACUUGCUUCCUCCUGUAGCAUCAGCUGGUGUUUUCUGAUGACACCACAUCCUCUUACCCCAGCAGGAUUUUUGUUCCCACUGUCUGACUGUAGCUGGGAAGGAGAUCUUCAGGCAGCAGGCAAAGGAGCCUCACUGCAGAAAUGACACGAGAGGAUGAUGUGGUGGCCUUAAUAGCAGCAGGAAGACUCAGCAACACAUCAUGGAGCUGUCUGAGGGACAGAGCACACACUGAGAUGCCUUUGUCCCAGCACUGCCUUGUGAUGCCCCUGCAGACAAACCUGACCAAGCCACUUAAAGCUACCUGUGAUGGAACUUGGCCUUUGUGUCGAGCUCAUAGCACCUUUGCCUUCCUUCUGCAUGAGCAAACAGCCCUUGAGCAAUUUCAAACCGUGCAAGUGAGAGCAGCAAGUGCAGCUGGACCCUGAGCGCCACAGCCAGUUUCAAGGAUGCUUGUGGAAAGAGCAGUUAGAAAUGUCAGUGAAGGGGCAGAGGGGAUGCACAGCAUCUGAGGGUGCUGGGCUGGCUGUGUGAUGUCCUGCUCAGCACAGAAAGCUUCCAAGGGAGCAGUUUUGAUGCUGAGAUAGCUGAAACCCUGCACAACGCAGUGAUAUGGUGCUUUUCUCCAGGUCUUACAGCAGCUGCCCAGAUCUUCACACUCACCUCUAUUUUCAGAGGAAGGUAACAGUCAAUGAAGCAAUCCUCUGAGAUUCAGCUGUAAUCCAGAAGUCUAUGCUUGCCCCUCUUGCCAAGUACACACCACAUUCCCAGCACAACAGAUAGUGAAUCCUCAUAAUGAUUAGUUGGGAAAAGUUUAUUCUGAAGAUAUAUGAUGGUGCUUUUGAGUUUGCGUUGUCAAAUGUGAACCGACCUCCAGCAGAGUUGCAGAAUGCCCCUGAUCUGUGUGGAACAGGUAUGUCUGAGGUUGUGGUUUUCUGUUACACUGAGAAUUAAAGCACAAAUUAAGCUGGGUGAUGGUGCAUUUAAGCUGUGGUUUUCAUUUAUUUCUGACGAGUAUGAGGUCACAAAAUGAGAAAAACCAACACAAAGCUCGCUUGUUUUCAUGUUUUAUUGAACAGUGCUCCACCUGCCAGUUCUGCACCAGUCCUGUGUGUGAACCACAGCGCUGACCCAUUAGGCUGCACAAACCAGCUUCAGGCUCCUGCCAGGAAGGCUGAGCCUAAGGCAGAUGAACAUUGCUGUGCAUCAGGCUGUCUUCUGAUGAGCUGGCUGUGGGGCUGCUCUUAGAGGAGAGGAGGAGUUUUCAGAAUGCUUCCUACUCUUCACUGAAACAGCUUCUUUCAGGUCUGCCUAUGCCACUGUUGUGAGGUAAGCUAGCUGUGAACACACCAGGUUUGGUCCUCACGGCUGCACUGUGCCCUUUGGAAAAUAUUAAGACAGCUUGUGCAGCUCCCACUUCUUGCUGCUGACUUGGAGACAGCCUGUGCUGCCCUAAAGCUGCCCUGCUCUUGUCCUCAACCACUCAUCAGCUUUCCCCUGAAAACCAAGUGUGUGCCCACACUUGUGCAGGCUGAGGAGCUGCCGUCAAACAGCACAAAGUAGUAUAGUGGAGUCAGUAACCUCUACUGUACUCAGUACUGAGCUGAUGGUUGGAGCUAAAAAAAAAUAUGCAAUGGUUUAAUGAGGGGGUGCUGCAAAUUAGUGUAGCAUCAACAAAGGGCUCCGAAGCUGAUUUACCCCUUGCAACUUUUUGGUGUGCUGUCAGGUCAAAGCUGUUGAACCUAGAGCAGAUUUUCCAGUUCAGUAGAUGUAGUGGAUGUCAAGCUACGAGAAGCAGUAACAAGUGCCUCAAAUUAUCCAGGUUCUAGAAAGCUUGUAAAACAAAAGCCUGUACAUAUCCUGUAGACAGGUAACAGGCUGAACACUGAGAGAACUCAGUGAGAUACGUUGCUGUUUUUAUUCUGCUGCUGCUGAUCUGCUAUAACAUCCAUAUAAUAUCCAUGUUUUUAAAUAUGAGAUUGCAAAAUGAAUUUUCAAAGCUAAAUAGGAGCUCCCACACCAGUAUGCAUCCUGCUUACUAUUAAAUUACAAUUUUCCAUGACAUGACCAAUGGACUUUGCAAGGUUUAGCAUAAGGCAGCAAAUAAGCACAAAAGCGAGUGGAUUAUUCGUCUGGCACUGGCAGAGAUGCACAAAAGAGCUAUGCGUAAUUACCUUCACCUAUAAAGCAGACAGGUGUAAAUUCAGACCAAGGCUGAACAAGACCACGUCAGUUCCAGCUGCUCUGCUUGCAAUCUGACAUCAAAAAAAGGAGAGAUCCCACAGCACAUCACAUUCACUUCUUAUGGAGCAGCCCAGCUCUUGAACUACCUACUCCCUGCAUGGGCAGAAAGAGAAAGUUUCAAAGCACAUUGAAGGGCAGUAGUCUCAGUGUUUUAUCUUUUGUUUUCCAAGGUCAACUUCCUGUAACUGUUUGGCAGCACCAGAACAAACAAAUUAAACAGGCAAAGUUACAUUCAAUAGAAAACUUUCUCCCAGGAAAUGGGAUACAGAAAAUAGCAAAACUUUAUAGCACACAAAAUACUGUACAUAUUUCCCUUCUCCUUGCUGCAGCCCUGUGCUUUCAGGAGACACCAGCAAAACCUGCACCUUGUUAUUUAAA
Molecule: non-coding RNA, 2767 nt
Organism: Coturnix japonica (Japanese quail)
Lineage: Eukaryota; Metazoa; Chordata; Aves; Galliformes; Phasianidae
Source: RefSeq, a predicted model, not a curated record